GCGGCGCACGCUGCCAGCACUUCCCCCAAAAAAACAACCACCCAAGCGCACACUCCACUUAAUUCCGUCUACGCAAUCGUGUGCGCGCACACACACAAACACACAUCAAUCACCAGGGAAACACCACCCAGCAGAUAGCUUAUCUUUAAAAUAGCAUGCCCGCUGAUAUAAACAGAGCACAGGCAGUUGCAACAUUUCUGUGUCAGCCCUGCCAGUUCUCCGUGACCGAAUCUCGGAACGGCGGCUUCUCUCUCUCUCUCCCCUCAGGACCUAUUCCUCCUUCCUACACGGCCCAAGAGUACAAGGAACACAGUUCCCAAAAAUCCAACAGCCUCUCUUUUCAUCCCCCUUCUCCAUCCCAAGAGGCUUUUCUCUUCUGUUUACCUCACGGCUAUGAGGUUUUGGCGGGAAACAGUUGAAGAAUGGGGGGGGGAGAAGACUGUGCCUUUAAUGUUUUCUCUCCCCCCUCCUCCAUUUGGAGACGUUGCCACACACAGGACACUCAAACGCCCCCUCCCCUAACGAUGGGGCCAAGAACCCCUUUUUAAAAGCCUAGCACCUUGAAGCCAAGGAGCAGAGAAGCACAUCCAUCUGGCUCUUGGGGUGGGGAGGACUUUCUUGAGCCUUUCUGAAAAUUCCCUUCCAAAUAUUCGCUCGCAGCAAGGCCUAGCCAAAUCUGUCCAGAACACCAAACGGUGCUGCCUUCCCUCAGAGGACACUCCGUCUCUCUUUCUUUCUCAGGUCCCAGCCCCUCUCUCCCAGAAAGCCCCCCAUCACCUCCUCCUGGUGCCCCCGGUGCCUUUUCACAGCUCUGCCAUCCCAGCUCAGCGUGCCUUACGCUCUCCGGCUCAAAUGGCUUCCUGGCGAUUUGCAUAGUUGAGCCGUAAACCAGCCACGGCAUUCCUGUUAUGAUUUUGCAAUCUACUGGAAUAACACGGUCGCUCUCAGUCGAGCCGAUGAGUCAUGAGCUAUAAAACCACAGCCCUCGUCACUGGGAGCUCUGUGUUGGCUGCAGCCUGAGCCCAGCUGACUUUGGGACCAGUGGCUUUCAAGCCUUCUUCUCACAUAUAUGGGCAAAAACAUGGACCACAAACAAGAUGCUAAAUUCCUCAACAGCCUUGUCACACCACUUGAAUAUGUUUCACAUCUCCUUGGGCAGUGAAAUAAUAUUAGAAUCCAGGGUCAUCCAAUAAGGCUGCAUGUUGGCGGCUCAGGACAUGUAAGAGGUCAGCAAACACCUGUCUUUUCCCCCAGGCCUUCUAACAACUCAAACAUCUUGUAUUAGCUGGUAACUGAUUCCAGAGGACUGGAGCUGCAACACCAAACGCCCAAUUUUCAGUGCAUACUACAUAACCUCUGAGGCAUGCAGUAUUCUCAGCAGUGCCCCAUCUGAGGAAUGGAGUGUAUCCUCAUCACAGCAACAACGGGGGACCUGCAGAAACAUCCCCAGCUAGUGCUCCAGACAAUCUGAAACAAAAGCCUUGUAGUGAUGUCCUGAACUGAAAGAAAAAAAAACUGGAGGGGAGGGACGUUUCAGAAGAUGGGAAAGGAAAAUCGUGCUAGUUUUUCUCUCCUUCCCUUCUGAAAUCUCCCUGUAUAGUGUGAGGAGAACAGAUGAAAGCACUGCAUAAAUGCCACGUUGCUGACAUGGUUUGUUGUUAUUUCUUCUUAUACCAAAUUUCUUAAAAUGCCAACCUCUUAAGAUGUGGUGCCACUCAAAAAUAAGGUUGUGGUUUACAUACACAUAAGGGGCUUUACAGGUGUGCGGAAGUAUACUUUGAAAAUUAAAGAUGAAAAUAAUGUUUUUAAAAGGCCCAAAACAACCUGUGGGUGAGCUUCCAGGACCAAGAGAAUGUUGAAGGUAGCUGAGCCAUGGAAUGUAGAAGGCAUCAGUUGGGAAGUGGGGAAGGGAACUGGGCUGUUUGAGCUCCAAGCCACUUAUUGCAAGGAUGGGGAACUUGUGGCCCUCUAAGAUGUGGUUCAACUCCCAUUGGCAAUAGUCAGCAUAGCCAGUAGUUAGGGAUGAGAAGGGAACUGUAGUCCAGAAACAUCUGAAGGACCAGAGGAUUCCCAUCCCUGGCUUAUAUCCCUGGAGGGAGGGUGCACUGCAUUAGGUUAAAAAACCCCCACUAUUCAUUAAUCCCUUACAACAACCCUAUAAGGUAGGUCAGUAUCAUGGUUCCCACAUUGCAGGUGAAGGGCUGAGAUGGAGAUAAGCAGCUUUCUGAAGGCUAACCCAUGAGUUCAUAGCAGAAGUGCGAUUUGAACUGGGAUCUUCCUGACAACUUUAUUCACUAGCACUUAUAUAUCAAUUGUGCUUUCAAAUCCCCUCUCUUUUGAAAACAUUUUAUUGUCAUUUCCAACUAUGCACAGCUAUAGAAGGUUAUAGUGCUAAGGAAAGUAUGGUCUGGGAUCUCCUUUGGUGUUAUAGUAUUGCAGUACUGUUUCCAAUAUGCAGCAAAUGUCAACAAGUGGCUAUUAAG
This is a long non-coding RNA of Rhineura floridana, 2483 nucleotides long. RefSeq lists it as uncharacterized. The transcript has 4 exons. Lineage: Eukaryota; Metazoa; Chordata; Lepidosauria; Squamata; Rhineuridae. The record is from RefSeq and is a predicted model, not a curated record.